AGUGAACGCUGGCGGUAGGCCUAACACAUGCAAGUCGAACGGCAGCACAGUAAGAGCUUGCUCUUACGGGUGGCGAGUGGCGGACGGGUGAGGAAUACAUCGGAAUCUACUUUUUCGUGGGGGAUAACGCAGGGAAACUUACGCUAAUACCGCAUACGACCUACGGGUGAAAGCAGGGGAUCUUCGGACCUUGCGUGAUUGAAUGAGCCGAGGUCGGAUUAGCUAGUUGGCGGGGUAAAGGCCCACCAAGGCGACGAUCCGUAGCUGGUCUGAGAGGAUGAUCAGCCACACUGGAACUGAGACACGGUCCAGACUCCUACGGGAGGCAGCAGUGGGGAAUAUUGGACAAUGGGCGCAAGCCUGAUCCAGCCAUGCCGCGUGGGUGAAGAAGGUCUUCGGGUUGUAAAGCACUUUUGGUUGGGAGGAAAAGCAGCAAGUUAAUACCUUGCUGUUCUGACGGUACCAAAAGAAUAAGCACCGGCUAACUUCGUG
This 492-nucleotide ribosomal RNA is filed under the name uncultured bacterium. RNAcentral describes it as "partial 16S ribosomal RNA". It matches the Rfam family "Bacterial small subunit ribosomal RNA", at positions 29 to 507 of the family's 1533-position model. The record is from RNAcentral.